UUUCCGUAGGUGAACCUGCGGAAGGAUCAUUAUCGUACAAAACGUGUGAGGCGUGUGAGGGCUGUCGCUGACUUUUAAUGCAAAAGUCGUGCACGCCGGAGCAUGUCCUCUCACGUAAAAUCCAUCUCACCCUUUUGUGCACCACCGCGUGGGUGCCCUUCGGGAUCGAACCUGAUCUUGGAGGGGGCUUGCGUUUUCACACAAACCCCCUUUUAAAAGUGUAGAAUGUCCCCAUUUUUGCGAUGACACGCAAUCAAUACAACUUUCAACAACGGAUCUCUUGGCUCUC
Molecule: unclassified non-coding RNA, 289 nt
Filed under: soil metagenome
Description: partial contains small subunit ribosomal RNA, internal transcribed spacer 1, and 5.8S ribosomal RNA
Source: RNAcentral